UGGGCACGGACUUGCGGAUGGCUGUGAUGCAACAGGUUGUCUGUCGUCCUGCUCUUUCUUUGAGGGCCAGCGGCCCAGAGGAGGACGUCGUCUGAGCGUGGAAACCUCCUGUCCUCUGCUGCUCAGCUGGAGAGAUGCUCCGCUAGGUAUGAGGACAUCAAUACAAAGAUAAGUAAUUAAAAUAACACCAGCUGGGCGGCAGAUUUCGCAUCAGCUGGUGGCAACUGUAUUGGUGAAGUUGCGGGCAUGGCGCAGCAGGCAGAAAGUGGCAGUUCCUUGUGUCACCCAGACACUAACGAGAUGUUAUCUGGCAGUUCCCUAUGUCAUCCAGACACUAAUGAGAGGUAAAGUACAGGGAGACGAUGGAAGGAGCUUCGUCUUCUGCUAGGCCCGGACAGAGGAGAGCAGGAUGGUGAGCAGAGGCUGAGCCCAUGCACUCUAUGUGGAGAAGGUCUGUGUAUGCUGCCAUGGAGGAGCCUACAGCACAGCAGUGGAUGAGGCCUGGCGGAGGAGCAGCCCCUAUAUACCCCUAUAGGAGCAGCCCUGGGCCAGAGCUGCAGCACAUGGAGAGGAGCCUGCAGUGGGGCAGGAGGGCUGGGGGAGCUGCUGCCUGUGGGGCUGUGCUGGAGCAGUGCCUGAAGGCUGGGCCCAUGGGAUGGAGACAUGCUGGAGCAAUGCUGAGAGAGCUACAGCCUGUGGGAAUCCCACAAGGGAUCAGAUGGGGAAGGACGGCAUCGCAUGUGAAUCAUAACAUGGCUAGCUUACCAGUGCUAAGCCACAAAGAUCACUGUGUGACCUUCAUGUUUCUUGAGAAAAGCUUUGGAACUAAAGUCACUGUCACUGUUGAA
Coturnix japonica (Japanese quail) is the source of this 848-nucleotide long non-coding RNA. RefSeq lists it as uncharacterized. The record is from RefSeq and is a predicted model, not a curated record. NCBI's taxonomy places the organism in Eukaryota, Metazoa, Chordata, Aves, Galliformes, Phasianidae.